GCCUCUUGAGCUGCUUGCUUGGCCCACUCUCACUCUGUGGAGUGUACAUUUGUUUCCAUAAAUCUGUGCUUUUUUUUUCAUUGUUUUGUUUGUGCAUUUCAUCCAAUUGUUUGUUCAAAAUGCCAAGAAUCUGGACACCCUCCACCAGUAACAGGCAUUGGGAAGGGGAAGGCAGAAAAGCGGAGUGCAAAAUGAAGUGGUAGUGGGUGCUAACUAACAAGAGAACCUUUGAACACGAUGGGACAGAAAUAAGGUCAUGCAUUUUCUACUAUCUGUCACCUGUGGACAACUUGCCACUUCAACAGUUCUGGACACUUUUAAGCUCCCCCGAGGAGAAGAUAGGAAACUUGGACACCCUGUGUGGGAUUGAGAAUCACAAAGGGGCAGUCUCGCACCUGGUCAAGAUAAAGCUGAACUGAACUCUUCAUUCACAAGUGGGAUUCUCGUAAGAGGCAGGAAAGCAGGGACCGUCUGUCACUACAGACAGCAAGAAGAGGUGAACCUUAAUGAGGGAAGAAAACAGAUUCUAUUAGGGGAAAAAAACAUUUAAUCAGAAAAUAAGGCUCUGGAAAGAAAAGGCCAAUUGGGGCUUUGUCUGAAGAAAUAACAGAGUAUUUUUCUGCCAGAGAAAGCAAGUCCAAGGGAGGAAUUUUCAGAUUGACCAAAGAGUAUUGGUCUACAUCAUUAGUACUUUCAGUGAGAAAUAACUGAAAAUAAACUAGAGCAAAAGUUCCCCAGGUGUGGUUCCAGGACCAGCAACUGAAACAUCACCUGGGAACUGUUAAAAAUGCAAAUUCUUGGGCUCUCCGCCAGAAUCACUGAAUCAGAAACUCUGAAAUGGGACCCAAUAAUCAGCAGCUUAACAAGC
This 868-nucleotide long non-coding RNA is filed under the name Homo sapiens (human). RNAcentral describes it as "non-protein coding LINC02446:5". Lineage: Eukaryota; Metazoa; Chordata; Mammalia; Primates; Hominidae. The record is from RNAcentral.